CUUCGUAAGGAUAUAUCCACUGUAUGUUGUGAUGCACAAGGUAGGACAAGCAAUGCUAACACCUAAAAACUUACAUGAUGGCUCUUAGUCAAAGGAGUUUUAUGCUAAAAGGUUUGAGGUUCAUCAGUUACAAACAGCAUCCCCUUACAGAAUCUCCAUGGUUGAUCAUCUGGUGUCCCAGAGCUCUCGACUUCUUCUAUUGUUUCUCUCGCUUUGAGUGGGUGGAGUCGUCCUUCAAAAUAUCUUGCACAGCACAAGUUUUGCUGCCUGUCAGAAGAAAGACAAUGCCAUUAAUUAUGAGAAUAUAGCACAACUUUGAAGGUAAGUUCGAGUCAAAGGAAAAGGCAGAAGUACAAAAACAUUUUCUUAUGGGAAUUUAGAUAUAAGGGAACUAAUUUGACAUAGAAAAAGAAACAUCAAGUCAUGGAAGAGGAUAAGCAUAUGUUUAAUUUGAUCAUCCACUGCAGUUGCUGCAUCAAAUGUGGGAUUUACGCUGUAUCUUUGCAUGCACAGUCAGUUCUUUUCCCUCAAGUUGCGUUCCACAAUAGUAUAUGAACUCUUUUUUGCGGCCUUCCACCAUGCCACGAACAUGGAUUCCCAGUUUUGAUUUAGGGCCUCAGUAAGCAUCUCCAUUAAACAGAUUACAGUUUGUUGGCUUCAUGGUGUUAAAAAACCAUCUUUUCACAUUACCAUAACUAAUAAUAUCCGCACAAAUAAAAGAAAAAAGUCGCAAAAAUAAAAACAAACACCCGUGCAGCAGAUGAAUGACAAAGUGCAUAAACUUUCACUGAUAAAAGAAUAUCUAUGAUUAGUCAAACAUGUUCUACCCAAUUUGCUUCAAUUUCUCUUUUUAGUAACAAGUAAUUUGUUAUUGGUUUUAGAAUAAGAAAAGCCAAAUUAUGCAGCACAUUGACAAAUAGAGUUUAGGAACUGCCAGAGUUACAAAGUUGGUGCUCACUCCACCUACGUGAUCCCUUUCAAAUGGUAAAUUAUCAAGAAAACUCAAUGGCCAAGAAAAUAUGAAACAUGUAAGAUAAUUGUGAAGUUGAGCAAGAUGCUCCAUAAGCUAAUUAUGAUAGUCCAAAGAUCUCUUAAUUCUUUUCUUUUUACAAAGUAGCAUGUACUAUGUUUCUUCCCUUUCUCACGUUGCAGCAAUUGAUCAAAAAGGGAAGCAGAAAGUGAUAUUAUAAGAACUACACAAAGCAUCAUCUUGCCACCUUUCUGGAGACUGAUCAGACUGUCUUUUACAAAUGGCUUAAAAAGGGCUUUUCAAGUUUUUCUUACUUUUUAUUCCUCAAUCGCAGCUCAAGCAUAUUUCCUGCAGAGCUACGGUCCUAGCAGAAA
This 1344-nucleotide long non-coding RNA is filed under the name Coffea arabica (coffee). RNAcentral's name for it is "long non-coding RNA (CARA_LNC006257)". Lineage: Eukaryota; Viridiplantae; Streptophyta; Magnoliopsida; Gentianales; Rubiaceae. The record is from RNAcentral.